GAUUUUGUUUGCUCCUUCCACAGAACCCUACCCUUCCUCCAUCAGCGGCAACAGAGUUCUAGCGGUUGAUCGAUAGUGACAAUGAGACCUCCGGCAGCAAUGUGUUCUUUUCUCUUCUUCUUCUCCUUUUUUCAUCGUCUUCUCCGAUGAUAGGCGGCGAUGCCCAGCCUUUUAACUCUUCUCUUCUUCUUUUUUGUUUAAUUUCAUCUUCGGUUUUGUUGUUCUGAUGCAAGCUCAUUGAUAAAACUCUGUAGUUUAGGACCAUAUACUAGCACCGGAUGUAAUUCGCUCUUUCUGUUUUUGGAGUGGAAUCCUCAUUCACGCUCAUCUAUUACUGUGUUUUAGUACCGGUCCUACCACCUGUACCUGUUCGUUCUUCAGAUCGGACCUAUCACUAGAGAGGACAAAGAAGAAGAGGAGAAGAAAAAUGAUCACCGGCCCUACCACCAGAGUUACUUGUCGAAGUAGAAGAAUGGAGAGUAGA
Nelumbo nucifera (sacred lotus) is the source of this 484-nucleotide long non-coding RNA. RefSeq lists it as uncharacterized. NCBI's taxonomy places the organism in Eukaryota, Viridiplantae, Streptophyta, Magnoliopsida, Proteales, Nelumbonaceae. The record is from RefSeq and is a predicted model, not a curated record.